CUCUUCUCAAUUUUUUACUCCCUGAGAUAUUUAGCUCAGCUGAAACAUUUGAUGAGUGGUUUCAAAUUUCUGGAGAAAAUGAUCAACAAGAAGUUGUUCAACAACUUCACAAAGUUCUGCGCCCCUUUCUCCUAAGGAGGCUUAAGUCUGAUGUUGAGAAAGGUUUACCCCCCAAGAAGGAAACAAUUCUUAAGGUUGGAAUGUCUCAGAUGCAAAAAACCUAUUAUCGUGCUUUGCUUCAAAAAGAUCUGGAGG
RNAcentral lists this unclassified non-coding RNA (255 nucleotides) under Hevea brasiliensis (rubber tree). The record is from RNAcentral. Lineage: Eukaryota; Viridiplantae; Streptophyta; Magnoliopsida; Malpighiales; Euphorbiaceae.